GACGAACGCUGGCGGCGUGCUUAACACAUGCAAGUCGUACGGAAAGGCCCUGCUUUUGUGGGGUGCUCGAGUGGCGAACGGGUGAGUAACACGUGAGUAACCUGCCCUUGACUUUGGGAUAACUUCAGGAAACUGGGGCUAAUGCCGGAUAGGAGCUCCUGCUGCAUGGUGGGGGUUGGAAAGUUUCGGCGGUUGGGGAUGGACUCGCGGCUUAUCAGCUUGUUGGUGGGGUAGUGGCUUACCAAGGCUUUGACGGGUAGCCGGCCUGAGAGGGUGACCGGCCACAUUGGGACUGAGAUACGGCCCAGACUCCUACGGGAGGCAGCAGUGGGGAAUAUUGCACAAUGGGCGGAAGCCUGAUGCAGCAACGCCGCGUGCGGGAUGACGGCCUUCGGGUUGUAAACCGCUUUCGCCUGUGACGAAGCGUGAGUGACGGUAAUGAGUAAAGAAGCACCGGCUAACUACGUG
Molecule: ribosomal RNA, 468 nt
Filed under: uncultured bacterium
Lineage: Bacteria
Description: partial 16S ribosomal RNA
Rfam family: Bacterial small subunit ribosomal RNA
Source: RNAcentral